CCUACGGGAGGUAGCAGUGGGGAAUAUUGCGCAAUGGGCGAAAGCCUGACGCAGCGAAGCCGCGUGAGGGAUGAAGGUCUUCGGAUCGGAAACCUCUGUCAGCAGGGAAGAAAGGCCAGUGUGCUAAUCAGCAGUGAAUUGACGGUACCUGCAAAGGAAGCACCGGCUAACUCCGUGCCAGCAGCCGCGGUAAUACGGAGGAUGCGAGCGUUAAUCGGAUUUACUGGGCGUAAAGCGCGCGUAGGCGGUAUGUCAAGUCAAGGGUGAAAUCCCCGCGCUCAACGUGGGAAUUGCCUUUGAAACUGGCAAACUGGAGUGUGUUAGAGGCUAGUGGAA
RNAcentral lists this ribosomal RNA (336 nucleotides) under uncultured bacterium. Its description in RNAcentral is "partial 16S ribosomal RNA". It matches the Rfam family "Bacterial small subunit ribosomal RNA", at positions 338 to 666 of the family's 1533-position model. The record is from RNAcentral.